Pelobates cultripes (western spadefoot toad) is the source of this 211-nucleotide non-coding RNA. The record is from the annotation of a GenBank genome assembly. Lineage: Eukaryota; Metazoa; Chordata; Amphibia; Anura; Pelobatidae.
GCUUGCUUUAAAUGGACACUGUAGGCACCGAGACCACUUCAGCUCAUUGAGGAGGUCUGGGUGCUGUGUCCCUUUUGCACCUAGUGCAAGCACUAAGUCUGCCCUCAGUGGCUGUCUUCUGUCCUCACGGAUAUCCAGCGUCAGAUUUUUCCCCAUAGGAAAGCACAAUGCGUUCCUAAGCGGAGGUCUAAUGCGUGCAUGGCAUUUGCCG